This 271-nucleotide ribosomal RNA is filed under the name uncultured bacterium. RNAcentral describes it as "partial 16S ribosomal RNA". The record is from RNAcentral.
CUGCUGCCUCCCGUAGGAGUCUGGUCCGUGUCUCAGUACCAGUGUGGGGGACCUUCCUCUCAGAACCCCUAGACAUCGCCGCCUUGGUGGGCCGUUACCCCGCCAACUAGCUAAUGUCACGCAUGCCCAUCCGUCUCCGGAGUCGCCUCCUUUGGCCGAAAGAAGAUGCCUCCCCUCGGCCACAUGCGGUAUUAGGCCGGAUUUCUCCGGGUUAUCCCGCUGAAACGGGCAGGUUGCAUACGCGUUACUCACCCGUGCGCCGGUCGCCGGG